UUGAAAAAGGACAUUUCCUUAUGUUUUCAUUCAAAACAGUAUAAUUUUUUUCUCACGAAAGAAACAUUUAUUACUUAAAAGUUAGUGGUGUUGUGUCUAAUAUGGACCUUCAGUAGCCCCACUCACAGACCGGAAACAGCGAUUAACUGAUUUUCAAACAUUCACAUAACUAGCCUAGGAAUUUUAUUAAUUAUACUUCCGUUUAGACCAAAUUGUAGAACAUUGUUCAAUGUUUUUGGCAACCAAGUUCUCUUUGAACGGUUAAAUAUCCUUUCUCAUCGUGGUUUACCGCUAAAAGUUAUGGAAAGUGGUUUCGGACAGAUUAAACGAAUACAGUAGACCAGGAGAAUUUGUACAUCAUCAUGAUAAAUAGCAUUUGCAGAGAAAGUAAACUUGCAAUGGAAAUAGCAUGCACAGACUGUUCUAAAUAUAAGGUUGCCGUAAUCACUCUUGUGUGACACAGACUUUCGACCUUCUAAAUACAACUGUAUUUACGUUCAAUUGGACAAAAGAGCCAACUUGAGGGAUUAUGGUGUCAGACAAGGAUAUCGCCGUUGGCAUCUUCUGUUUAGGAGAAAAAACACAUCUAGAUUUUUACGUUGCUGUCGUGUACUUUUCCAAAAUGCAAUUCAAAUCUGUCAAUAGCCAUAAGUUAGUGAUAAUGGUACAUUAAUGGUCUUGUAAAUAGAUGUCAUAUUGAUUUUUAUCAUUAUUUCCUAACGAGAUAAACAUUUAAAAUGAUGUUUUUAAUAUUUAUAUAUUUAUAGACUGAUUUAUUCAAACAUUUAUCAAUCAUUUAUAAAAUUUUCCUCCUGGUUGUAAAAAAAUAUAUCGACUUAUGUAAUAAAAUGGGCAAAAACAUUUAAUGAAACGAAAAAUACCAAUCACUUUUGACAUUUAUUUUCAGAGUAUUGCACUCUUGCACAAGGUAUGUGACUGACUUUGGGUGUUCCUUCAAGACGAAACAAGUCAUCAAAGAACAGACUGCUUUUUACAUGUGAAAAACUGUAGGUUAAUGCUAUAGGGUGGUUUCAGACAGCAUUGACUAAAAAGAAUAGUUAGGCGCUAUUGUAUUGCACAAUUGUGGUUUAAAAAUUACUGAUUUUAAUUCAUGUUUUGGUCAAGAGUUCCUAUAUUUUUAUUUUAUUAUAAUGCUUUAACACGAAACAUUGCAACUUGACGAAAUGCAGAUCAUUCAUUAGAGCAUCCAUCUUCGUUCUGUUUAUAUAUUUUCUUCACUAUUGAAAAGGUUAGAAUCAAGUAAGAUGUUGUCCUUAGUUUUAAAUACCGUUUUCGAGCGACCACAUUUCAAUUUCAAUAGCGGAACGGUCAUUCUUUGUUCAACAAGCCACCAGUUUUCAAAACACUUUUUUUCUUUAUAGCAAAACACAUAUAACAAAGUGACCAAAAGCUGUAUACACAAAGAAAAUGCUAUUAAACGGUAUCCAAA
Mytilus californianus (California mussel) is the source of this 1450-nucleotide long non-coding RNA. RefSeq lists it as uncharacterized. The transcript has 3 exons. The record is from RefSeq and is a predicted model, not a curated record. NCBI's taxonomy places the organism in Eukaryota, Metazoa, Mollusca, Bivalvia, Mytilida, Mytilidae.